AAACGUGCUUGGGAUGAAAUAAUA
RNAcentral lists this non-coding RNA (24 nucleotides) under Arabidopsis thaliana (thale cress). The record is from RNAcentral. Lineage: Eukaryota; Viridiplantae; Streptophyta; Magnoliopsida; Brassicales; Brassicaceae.